CUGCAGCCAGGGAAGAUAAUCAGCUUCUUUUUCUCAGGGGGACCUGGCAUGCAAUGGCUGCAAGCAACAGACCCCUUGGGAACACAUGCAGCCUGUUGCUUGUAUGGGUAGCCCUAAAGAACCCUGAAGACCACC
Molecule: small nucleolar RNA, 135 nt
Organism: Acomys russatus (golden spiny mouse)
Lineage: Eukaryota; Metazoa; Chordata; Mammalia; Rodentia; Muridae
Product: small nucleolar RNA SNORA70
Exons: 1
Source: RefSeq, a predicted model, not a curated record